This 114-nucleotide microRNA precursor is filed under the name Prunus dulcis (almond). RNAcentral describes it as "sRNA ncRNA". Lineage: Eukaryota; Viridiplantae; Streptophyta; Magnoliopsida; Rosales; Rosaceae. The record is from RNAcentral.
GUGCUGAUUUUCCCACUCCCCUUUUGUCCACUUACACUCCUUUUUGUCUUUUAAUACUUUUUACUCAUACAAGGGAGUGUAAGUGGACAAAAGAGGAGUGGGAAAAUCAGCUCC